Molecule: ribosomal RNA, 498 nt
Filed under: uncultured bacterium
Lineage: Bacteria
Description: partial 16S ribosomal RNA
Rfam family: Bacterial small subunit ribosomal RNA
Source: RNAcentral
GGAUGAACGCUGGCGGCGUGCCUAAUACAUGCAAGUCGAGCGAACAGACGAGGAGCUUGCUCCUCUGACGUUAGCGGCGGACGGGUGAGUAACACGUGGAUAACCUACCUAUAAGACUGGGAUAACUUCGGGAAACCGGAGCUAAUACCGGAUAAUAUAUUGAACCGCAUGGUUCAAUAGUGAAAGACGGUUUUGCUGUCACUUAUAGAUUGAUCCGCGCCGCAUUAGCUAGUUGGUAAGGUAACGGCUUACCAAGGCAACGAUGCGUAGCCGACCUGAGAGGGUGAUCGGCCACACUGGAACUGAGACACGGUCCAGACUCCUACGGGAGGCAGCAGUAGGGAAUCUUCCGCAAUGGGCGGAAGCCUGACGGAGCAACGCCGCGUGAGUGAUGAAGGUCUUCGGAUCGUAAAACUCUGUUAUUAGGGAAGAACAAAUGUGUAAGUAACUAUGCACGUCUUGACGGUACCUAAUCAGAAAGCCACGGCUAACUACGUG